CCUACGGGUGGCAGCAGUGGGGAAUAUUGGACAAUGGGCGAAAGCCUGAUCCAGCCAUGCCGCGUGUGUGAAGAAGGCCUUCGGGUUGUAAAGCACUUUCAGUGGGGAAGAAAGCCUUGGGGCUAAUACCCUCGAGGAAGGACAUCACCCACAGAAGAAGCACCGGCUAACUCCGUGCCAGCAGCCGCGGUAAUACGGAGGGUGCGAGCGUUAAUCGGAAUUACUGGGCGUAAAGCGCGCGUAGGCGGUCUGAUAAGCCGGUUGUGAAAGCCCCGGGCUCAACCUGGGAACGGCAUCCGGAACUGUCAGGCUAGAGUGCAAGAGAGGAAGGUAGAAUUCCCGGUGUAGCGGUGAAAUGCGUAGAGAUCGGGAGGAAUACCAGUGGCGAAGGCGGCCUUCUGGACUGACACUGACGCUGAGGUGCGAAAGCGUGGGUAGCAAACAGGAUUAGAUACCCCUGUAGUC
RNAcentral lists this ribosomal RNA (465 nucleotides) under Vreelandella stevensii. RNAcentral's name for it is "partial 16S ribosomal RNA". It matches the Rfam family "Bacterial small subunit ribosomal RNA", at positions 338 to 795 of the family's 1533-position model. Lineage: Bacteria; Pseudomonadati; Pseudomonadota; Gammaproteobacteria; Oceanospirillales; Halomonadaceae. The record is from RNAcentral.